Molecule: long non-coding RNA, 230 nt
Organism: Penaeus monodon (black tiger shrimp)
Lineage: Eukaryota; Metazoa; Arthropoda; Malacostraca; Decapoda; Penaeidae
Exons: 3
Source: RefSeq, a predicted model, not a curated record
CGACCACGCCGCACACACAUUGACCGACCAUUGAACCAGCCGCUUUACAUGGCGCGUGAGGCUCCCGAAUGCGAGGGCUCCUAUCUCUGCCGGGCGACGCUCGGGAGUGUAAACAAGGGCGCCACAAGACCUGCAAUUUUCUCUGGAUGUAGUGGCUUGGCAUAGACAGAAAAAUGACUACAGCAGUCUCCCUCAACAGUGACCUGGUGACAAGAUCACUAGUCAACCUU